GUAGGUGGCAAGCGUUGUCCGGAAUUAUUGGGCGUAAAGCGCGCGCAGGCGGUUCUUUAAGUCUGAUGUGAAAGCCCACGGCUCAACCGUGGAGGGUCAUUGGAAACUGGAGAACUUGAGUACAGAAGAGGAAAGCGGAAUUCCACGUGUAGCGGUGAAAUGCGUAGAGAUGUGGAGGAUCACCAGUGGCGAAGGCGGCUUUCUGGUCUGUAACUGACGCUGAGGCGCGAAAGCGUGGGGAGCAAACAGGAUUAGAUACCCUGGUAGUCCACGCCGUAAACGAUGAGUGCUAAGUGUUAGGGGGGUUUCCGCCCCCCUUAGUGCUGCAGCUAACGCAUUAAGCACUCCGCCUGGGAGUACGGCCGCAAGGCUG
RNAcentral lists this ribosomal RNA (373 nucleotides) under uncultured organism. RNAcentral's name for it is "partial 16S ribosomal RNA". It matches the Rfam family "Bacterial small subunit ribosomal RNA", at positions 527 to 896 of the family's 1533-position model. The record is from RNAcentral.